This 1019-nucleotide ribosomal RNA is filed under the name Salmonella enterica subsp. enterica serovar Braenderup. RNAcentral's name for it is "bacterial SSU rRNA". It matches the Rfam family "Bacterial small subunit ribosomal RNA", at positions 87 to 1102 of the family's 1533-position model. Lineage: Bacteria; Pseudomonadati; Pseudomonadota; Gammaproteobacteria; Enterobacterales; Enterobacteriaceae. The record is from RNAcentral.
GCUGACGAGUGGCGGACGGGUGAGUAAUGUCUGGGAAACUGCCUGAUGGAGGGGGAUAACUACUGGAAACGGUGGCUAAUACCGCAUAACGUCGCAAGACCAAAGAGGGGGACCUUCGGGCCUCUUGCCAUCAGAUGUGCCCAGAUGGGAUUAGCUUGUUGGUGAGGUAACGGCUCACCAAGGCGACGAUCCCUAGCUGGUCUGAGAGGAUGACCAGCCACACUGGAACUGAGACACGGUCCAGACUCCUACGGGAGGCAGCAGUGGGGAAUAUUGCACAAUGGGCGCAAGCCUGAUGCAGCCAUGCCGCGUGUAUGAAGAAGGCCUUCGGGUUGUAAAGUACUUUCAGCGGGGAGGAAGGUGUUGUGGUUAAUAACCACAGCAAUUGACGUUACCCGCAGAAGAAGCACCGGCUAACUCCGUGCCAGCAGCCGCGGUAAUACGGAGGGUGCAAGCGUUAAUCGGAAUUACUGGGCGUAAAGCGCACGCAGGCGGUCUGUCAAGUCGGAUGUGAAAUCCCCGGGCUCAACCUGGGAACUGCAUUCGAAACUGGCAGGCUUGAGUCUUGUAGAGGGGGGUAGAAUUCCAGGUGUAGCGGUGAAAUGCGUAGAGAUCUGGAGGAAUACCGGUGGCGAAGGCGGCCCCCUGGACAAAGACUGACGCUCAGGUGCGAAAGCGUGGGGAGCAAACAGGAUUAGAUACCCUGGUAGUCCACGCCGUAAACGAUGUCUACUUGGAGGUUGUGCCCUUGAGGCGUGGCUUCCGGAGCUAACGCGUUAAGUAGACCGCCUGGGGAGUACGGCCGCAAGGUUAAAACUCAAAUGAAUUGACGGGGGCCCGCACAAGCGGUGGAGCAUGUGGUUUAAUUCGAUGCAACGCGAAGAACCUUACCUGGUCUUGACAUCCACAGAACUUUCCAGAGAUGGAUUGGUGCCUUCGGGAACUGUGAGACAGGUGCUGCAUGGCUGUCGUCAGCUCGUGUUGUGAAAUGUUGGGUUAAGUCCCGCAACGAGCGCAAC